Molecule: transfer RNA, 76 nt
Filed under: Allochromatium vinosum
Lineage: Bacteria; Pseudomonadati; Pseudomonadota; Gammaproteobacteria; Chromatiales; Chromatiaceae
Also listed under: 7 other names
Description: tRNA-Lys
Rfam family: tRNA
About the family: Transfer RNA (tRNA) molecules are approximately 80 nucleotides in length. Their secondary structure includes four short double-helical elements and three loops (D, anti-codon, and T loops).
Source: RNAcentral
GCGCCCUUAGCUCAGUUGGUAGAGCAUCUGACUUUUAAUCAGGUGGUCGCGCGUUCGAGUCGCGCAGGGCGCACCA